This 634-nucleotide ribosomal RNA is filed under the name Macalpinomyces eriachnes. RNAcentral's name for it is "LSU rRNA". It matches the Rfam family "Eukaryotic large subunit ribosomal RNA", at positions 41 to 656 of the family's 3401-position model. Lineage: Eukaryota; Fungi; Basidiomycota; Ustilaginomycetes; Ustilaginales; Ustilaginaceae. The record is from RNAcentral.
UAUCAAUAAACGGAGGAAAAGAAACUAACAAGGAUUCCCCUAGUAACGGCGAGUGAAGAGGGAAGAGCCCAAGAUUGAAAGCUGGCGUCUUCGGCGUCCGCAUUGUAAUCUCAAGAAGUGUUUUCCGCUUCGGACCAAGCCUAAGUCCCUUGGAAAAGGGCAUCAUAGAGGGUGAUAAUCCCGUACAUGGCUUGGAGCGCCCGAGGCUUUGUGAUACGCUUUCUAAGAGUCGAGUUGUUUGGGAAUGCAGCUCAAAAUGGGUGGUAAAUGCCAUCUAAGGCUAAAUAUUGGGGAGAGACCGAUAGCGAACAAGUACAGUGAUGGAAAGAUGAAAAGAACUUUGAAAAGAGAGUUAAACAGUACGUGAAAUUGCCAAAAGGGAAGGGUAGGAGGUCAGAGAUGCGGUCUGGGAUUCAGCCUUGCUUUUGCUUGGUGUUUUUCCCAGAUGGCAGGCCAACGCCGGUUUUGGGCACUGGAGAAGGGUAGGAGGAACGUGGCACCUCUCGGGGUGUGUUAUAGCCUCCUACUGGAUACAGCGACCGAGACCGAGGAACGCAGCGUACUCGCAAGAGCGGGCCCUCGGGCACCUUUACGCUUAGGGCGUUGGCAUAAUGGCCCUCUACCACCCGUCUUG